UCAGGCGCCACAGGAAAGGCUCCUUCGGGCAGGCCUCAGCUUUCAGCUUAAGUUUUUUUCCUUUGGCCGAGUCAACUGCGGUGCCGAGUUGUAUUUUCCUUUCAGAGGUGUGUCCGAGAACCAUUCUUAGGAGACGCCUGCCGGCCGCUUUGGGAUAGGGCCUGUCUGCCCAUGCUGGCUUCCAAAGGCCUCUGUGUGUUCCUGUAUGUGGGCGUGCACGUACCUGUCACAUGUGUACGCGCAGACCACAGGAUGUCCACACUGGCUUCCAAACACAUCUCUGUGUUUCUGUCUGUGAGUGUGUACGCAGGUGUCAAAUGUGUACGCACAGAUCACAGGGUGUCCACACUGGCUUCCAAACACGUCUCUGGGUUCCUUUAUGUGCGUGUGUAUGCACUUGUCAUGUGUACACACAGAUCACAGGGCAUCCACACUGGCUUCCAAACAUGUCUCUGUGUUUCUGUCUGUGGGUAUGUACACACAUAUCACAUGUGGAAGAGGUAGGAAGAGGCUGGAACAGGUAAGGGUCAUGAAGGUGCAGUGCACUAUUGUACUGUUUGCGCUUUAUAUGUGUUUGGUUAGUUUUGCAAGAACAUGCUGGUGAAGGAGAGAGAACCCCAAACAAUUGAUUAGCAGUGCUACUGAAACUCAGAUAUACACAGGAAUGGCAAAGAAACAUCUAUGAAAAAAAGCAGAUUCUGGAACUCCAUCUCCCUGAGAUUGUCACUCAUGGGGUCUGCAGGAAGUUUCAGGAAUCUGCAUUUUCUUCUAAUAAACGUGGUCCACAGGUUAUAAGUUGAGAUACAAAUAGAAUAUAUAAAGUAAAAAAGGAAAAUUUGAAGUUUCCUGCCUAGCCCAACUCUUCUCAUUGGUAGUGUCUGUUAAAUUGGAAACAUAUCUCUUUCCAGACAUAUUAAUACCUUUUAUACAGUUGACUCUUGAACAACAUUAGUUUGAACUGCGUGAGUACACUUAUAUGUGGAUUAUCUUUUAGUUUACUAACUUGACUUAAGAAGUCCUGAUCAUUUUUUGAUGUUCAUGCAUACCGUAUAGAUCCUACCUCAUUUGACUCCUACAAAAUAUUUGUUAAGGGUGUUCUAAAAGUUACUUUUUGUAGUUAAACUACACUUUAUUUACAUUUGUUUGUUAUGGAAAUAAUGCAUAAUAAUCGUUAAAAAUCCAAACAAAAGGGGGGAACAUAUUAAAAGAAAAGUAAGGGUCUCCCUGCUACUCUACCUACCUACCCACCUACCUUAUCUGUUACCAUAUCCUAGACCCAACUGCAAUUAACAAUUUCUGGUUUUAGUUCUUCUGGUUCUUUUCAUUAUAACCUUAAAUACUGUACAUAUACAUCUUGACUCACCAGCUGAAAAUCCUUCGGUGACACUUAAUGUCAGACACACACACCUGUUAUGAGAGUUUCCUGAUUGAAUAAGAAAGAGGCAUUCCAGGCAGAAGUACCCGAACAUACAAGAGUGCAAGACCAAGAGGCUAAGGCAGAUUGCUCUGUGCAAGAAGUGGCAGGUAGUGUGGCGUGGCUGGAGAUGAAGAAAUGACUGGAUUGGGAAGGACUUUAUCCACCAAUCUAAUGAAUUUGACUUUCAUCUUGAAGGUGUGAAAUAGCGUGCUAAACAAGUUUAAAAGCAAAAUGUCAUUAGCCUAUUUGUAUUUAGAAAGAGCACUCCAGAAGCAAGGAGGGGAUGGGUGAAUUGGAUGUACUGACACUGGAACAAGGAAAUUAUUCCAAUAGUCCAGGAACUGACUCACAAGAUCACUGAGGCUGGCAAGUCUACAGGAUGAGCCAGCAAGCUGGAGACCCAGGAGAACUGAUGGCAUAGUUCCUGACCAGAGGCUAGCAGGCUUGAAAUCCAGGAAGAGUCAGUGUUUCAAUCUGAGUCUGAAGGCAAGAAACAAGCUGAUGUCCCAGUCAAAAGAUCAGAAGGCAGGAGAGAUUCUUUCUUACUCAGGGAGGAUCAGUUUUUUUGUUUUAUUCAGGCUUCUAACUGAUUGGAUGAGACUCACUCAUAUGUUAGGGAGGUCAAUUUGCUUUACUCAGGCUAUCCAUUUAAAUGUUAAUCUCAUCCCAAAACACCCUCAUACACACACCCAGGAUAAUGUUUCAGCAAGUAUCUGGGCACUCUAUGGCCCAGUCAAGUUGACACAUAAAAUUAAUCACAAAUAUGUUCCAGUAACUUAGUUUUUAAACAACUAGAUUCUUAUGAGAAUAAACUCAGGAUAGGAUAGGGGAAAUGCUUUCUGGCUUUCCACUUGCAUAUUCUUGGAAUGUCACUUUUUCUUAAAUGUUAAAAAUUGAAGGCCAGGCAUGGUGGCUCAUGCCUGUAAUCCCAGCACUUUGGGAGGCUGAGGUGGGUGGAUCACGAUGUCAGGAGUUCCAUAUGCCCACAGACACACAGCUAGCAGCUGAGAUGAACCACCCAAGUCUAUUUGGUUUUCAGCUCAUGUUCUUUUCAUGAUAUUUUGCUUUCUCUCAAUAUUUAUAGAAUUUAAUUUAAUUGACUAGAAUUAAACUAAGAGAAAAUGAUUGAAUGAAGAGAUGCAGAAGGCAAGAGAUAGCAAAGGUCAUUCUGGGCUGGGCAUGGUGGCUCACACCUGUAAUCCCAGCACUUUGGGAGGCCUAGGCGGGUGGAUCAUCUGAGGUCGGGAGUUCAAGACCACCCUGGCCAACAUGGUGAAACACCCCCGUCUGCUAAAAAUACAAAAAUUAGCUGGGUGUGGUGGCAGGCGCCUGUAAUUGCAGCUACUCGGGAAGCUGAGGCAGGAGAAUCGCUUGAACUGGGGAGGUGGAAGUUGCAGUGAGCCGAGAUGUGCCAUUGCACUCCAGCCUGGGCAGUAAGAGCGAAACUCCGUCUCAAAGCAAAAAAAAGAAAAGCUACCUUUACCAAAGACAGUUAAAAUGAUGGCCACCAAGGGGCAGUGUGCAGCAGGCAGAGAAGGUGGCUUUUUAAAUUAUUUUUCACUGCCUGCUGAGACAAAGAUGUUACACCAGAAUAUGCCACCCUAACAUAUGCUUCUUUGGCAUAAGGAUUAUUUUGAGCUGAAGACGAUUGAGAAGAAACAAAUAAAAGAAAAACUCUGCCUUCCCUUUCUUUGCCUAAUUUUUUGGACAGGGACACACUAAGGUUAGCUAGAAGCUUGCAUGGUGGGGUGGGGGAAAUGCCUGCAGCUGCAAGGAGGUACCCAGGACAAGGCAUGGAAACUCCCCCUAUUCUUGUUAGCACAUGCAAGGUGGAAGGAGAAAGGCAGUGUGGAGUCGCCCAAGCUAAGAGCCUGCCUGCAUGAUAAAAGAAUGGGGUAGGGGCUGCCAGAGAUUCCACUCUAUACAGAUGACACACCUGGUCCUAACCAGGUUUUCAUGCCCUAUGUAGAUAAGAUACCCGCUCCCUACUAGCUCGUUGAUAAAAACCCUCCAUUUUACUGCAGCACGGCAACCCGUCUGGGACCUCUCUCUGUGAGAGAGAGCUGUCCUUUUCCUUUUGCCUAUUACACUUCUCUAACUUCACCCUUUGUGUGUCUGCAUUCUUCAUUUCUGUGGCCAUGAGACAAAAAACCUCAGCUGAUAUCCCAGACAACAAGGCUGCUUUAGAGGGAAAACGGAUAGCUAAUAUUAUCAGUUAAUUGGCUAUGUUAAUUGAUACCUUCAAAUUAGGUGUUUUAAAAUAAAUGCUGAGAACAAUAUGAAAGUGUUUUUCUUUUACUAAUUCUCUGAGGAUUUUGUUAUUUAUUUAGCUUUACAAUGCCUAGCCCCCUUUAUAAAUGUAAUUAUUGUGUUGCUAAGUGCAUGUAUACAAAAAAUUCAUUGGUUCAAAAGCCAUAGGCCUGGUACCAUAGCCAUAUAUGGUACGUUCAAACCUUGGAAAUGCACAUUCUCAGUGUGUCGGAAGCUCUGUACUGCUCCUUCUUGAAGAACUACUUUGAUUUGUGGUUAACUCGCUGUUUUGACUCACUGUUUUAACUCCCAUUACUUCAGUAUCUGACAUUCAGCCUCAGAAUCUGGCCAGUGUAUCAGGGCUGGAAUUAAUUGAUUAACACCAUUAGAUGGCAGUACUAUUUAAAUUCCAAAAAUGGUUAUAAACUCAUUCUCUAAAAUGUGUGUCAAAUAGAAUAUUUGACUGAUAAUAACUCUAAGAGCACAAAAGGAUUAAACACACACACAAGACAAAGUUUGGGAUAUACCCAUUGGAAAAACCCUUGGUCUCUUUAAAUUUUUUUUCAUAUGUAUGUAUAUUGCACAUAUUGCCGGCCUCUUUAUCUCUUUUUUCCUUUUUUUUUUUUUUUUUUUUGAGAAGGAGUCUUACUCUGUCACCCAGGCUGGAGCACAGUAGUGCAAACAUGACUCACUGCAGCCUUGAACUCCUGGGCUCAAGCGACCUUGAUUAUUUUUUAGAUAUAAAAAAUAUUCACACAUUAAUUUGAUCACAAGAAAUUUUAAAGAAAUUUAAACAUUUUCAGAAAAGGCUACUUCAAGGUGUCAUGACAGCUUUGGACCAAACAUUAAUGUUCUAUAUGACUUUGGGCAAGUCAGUCAUGUUUAUUAGACUUAAUAACCCAGGUAACGUUAGCUGUUGGAGGGUUUUUUAAAAAACGUUUUAUUUUGAAAAAACUUCAAACUUAAAGGAAAAAUGGCAAGAAUACUACAAAGACCUAUUUAUUCAGAUACACCAGUUGUCACAAUUUUGCCAUAUUAACUUUAUCUAUUGAUCAAUUUCUCUUUCAGUCUAUUGACCUAUCUAUCUUGAACUAUUUGGGAUUAAGUUGUAGACAUCUGAUCCCCUUACCCUUAAACACUUUACCACGUCUUCCUAAGAAUAAGACCAUUACUCCACACAGUACACUUAUCUAAAUCAGGAGACAGCAUUGUUAUAAUACUGUUACCAAGUGGCAAGCUGGUGCACUGUCCAGACAGGGAGAGAGGGAGAGAGGACCUGAUUUGUAACAUUUGCCAGUUCCCAUGUGUGAUGGUUUACUUUGGUUCAUAACUACCAUUGUCCUUGUUACAGUCUUUUAUUAAAAUGUGGGGUGUGUUAGGCCGCAAGGGCAGGCCUCAAGAAACAGAAUCUCUCUCCUGCCCUCCUUUCACCUGCCCCAAGGCAGGAUUCCAUCUUCUCCCACCUUUCCAACUGUGGGUCUUAAGACUUUUCAGAGAGGGUCCUGCCAUACACACUGGGGGAAGGAAUGCUGACGUCAUGAAGCUUCCAUGAAAACUCAAGAGGACUGAGUUCAGAGAGCUUCCGGAUAGCUGAAAACAUGGAGGUUCCUGGUUCCUGGAGGGUGGCGCCCCAGGCAUGGAAGCUCUGAGCCCCUUCCUCCGCACCUCAUCUCUUCAUCUGUAUCCUUUGUAAUAUCCUUUAUUAUAAAACAGCAAAUGUGUUUCCCUGAGUUCUGUGAGCCACUCCAGCAAAUCAAUCAAACCCAAAGAGGGGGUCAUGGGAACCCCAACUUGAAGCUCAAUCAGAAUUUCCCAAGGCCCAGAUUUGCAACUGAUAUCUGGGGGUGAGGGUGGUCUUGGGGUCUGAGCCCUCAAUCUGUGGGAUCUGAUGCUACCUCCAGAUAGAUAGUGAAGGAACUGGGUGGAGGUCCUGGCUUGUGUCUGCCUCUUGGGCUACACAGUGGUAGAAAAUUAGUACAAGAUGAAAAAGAUUUAAAAGGAAAUGACAGAUAUACAUAUAUAGGAAACAGGCAAGGAAGACCCUGUACACAUGGGUACACGUGCAUGCGCACACACACACAGAUAUAUUAGUUCCUAAAGAAAUAAAAUCAGCCAGGCGCGGUGGCUCACGCCUGUAAUCCCAGCACUUUGGGAGGCUGAGACAGGUGGAUCACCUGAGGUCAGGAGUUCAAGACCAGCCUCAACAUGGAGAAACCCUGUCUCUACUAAAAACACAAAAUUAGCUGGGCGUGGUGGUGCAGGCCUGUAAUCCCAGCUACUCAGGAGGCUGAGGCAGGAGACUUGCUUGAACCUGGGAGGCGGAGGUUGCAGUGAGCCGAGAUCGUGCCAUUGCACUCCAUCCUGGGCAACAAGAGUGAAACUCCGUCUCAAAAAAAAAAAAAAAAAAAAGAAAAUCAAAAGGAAUAGAUCCAAACAAACAAGAUGUAUAAUUCAGGAAAGGUUUCCUGAAAUAAGCAUAUACUUGAAACGACAUAUUGAAAGAUUAUCUAAACACCUUGGAAAAUGGAGUCCAAAUAUCCAAUACCAAGACAUUCUAGUAAAGGGAAAGAAGGAAGAAGGGGAAAGAGGGAAGAGAGGUUGAGGCUGCAGGGAGCUAUGAUCUGCACUCCAGCCUGAGUAACAAAGUGAGACUCUGUCUCAAAAAAAAUAAAAAAAAUAAAAUAAAAUGAAAAAAGAUACUCGAGGAAAGUAAAGAUAAGCCAAAAUAAUUUUCAAGUAUAAAAGCAGCAAAGUGUUACCAAAAUGCAAAGACUCAGGAAAUACAGUUACCAUAAGCUAUUCCUAAGGAAUCUACUAGUGAACAAGUUUCAAACAGUCACAAUGACUGCAGAGACAUUGACGUAAAGACAGAUGGCAAAUAUUAAGUGGGUGGGUAGGUAGAUACAGCUGUAGAUAUGGCCAGCUGUUUGCUGGAGGCAAUUUGGACAAGCUUAUGAGAGCCAAUGAACUUUUCAAGAAUUUUAUGAGUUGGUUAUUAAACAUAGACAUUAUGAACAGUUAAAGUAUAUACAUGUACGUACAUUUAAAUAAAUUAAAAACAGUAAACACUAGGGGUUUCACCAUGUUCGUCGGUCUGGUCUCGAACUCCUGACCUCAUGACCCACCCCCUCGGCCUCCCAAAGUGCUGGGAUUACAGGUGUGAGCCACCACGCGUGGCACAAAACAAACAUUCUUAAUGAGAGUACCUCUAAUAUAUCACUUACAUGCAGUCAACUCCAGGAUAAAUCACGUAAAUAUAUAUUCUAGCUGUAUGAUAGAGUCAACUCUUAGCUCUCUGCAAAAGGCUAAUGGUUUGGAUUUUUAAUGAGAAGAAAUAAAACUGGUAGAAAUACAGUAACAUUGAAAGUAUUUUAUGAAUUUUUAAUUAUAUUCAAUAAUUUUCUCAAUUUUAAAAGAAUAAUGUGAAACAGUAUAUAUGAGUCAGUCUCAUAUUUGAAUACUUGUAUGGGGUAAUAAGUUGUGUAAUAGUUAAAUUCCCAAGAGACCGAAAAAAUAAUUACCCGCAUUUUAAAACAGUAAAUUGAGGGUGAAAAGACUCAAUCAUUUCCUCAGAAUGUUUUCUCGUAACUGACUCAUAAAUAAAUACAGUCUUCCUGUAGAUUAUUUUAAUUUUACCCAAUGAAAUUCACUAUAGAGGUUAUCACUAAACAGGACAUAUUCUUGCGUUUUUAUCACAUUGUUUUUGGUGACAUUUCAAGAAGCCAUAGUCAUAAUUUAGUGUGGAAGUUAUGUCGGUAUUCACAGUAGGCAGAUACACACAAAAUAAUGUCUUUUGACAGAAUCCAAAUGCUUCUGUCCAAAUCUGCUCUUAUAUCUAAGAAGUAAUUCUCCUUGAAAGAGCAGCUUUACAUAAGCUUUAAAACCCUAAUUAUAAGCUCAGAAACUCAGCUCUAAAUUACUUUAAUUACAUAAAAUUGAUGUAAAUCAUAAAGUGUAGAGAAGUCACUUUUCCUUUUGUCUGUUGGCUGCAGCAAGCAUCCUAAGAACUGCUCCAAUGUCUAAGC
Molecule: long non-coding RNA, 7692 nt
Filed under: Homo sapiens (human)
Lineage: Eukaryota; Metazoa; Chordata; Mammalia; Primates; Hominidae
Description: non-protein coding lnc-RNASET2-1:9
Source: RNAcentral